GGUAGAGCUCAGUGGUAAAGUGCUUGCCUAGCAUGCAGGAGGUCCUGGGUUCAAUCCCCAGUUCCACCA
RNAcentral lists this transfer RNA (69 nucleotides) under Camelus bactrianus (Bactrian camel). It matches the Rfam family "tRNA". From Rfam's summary of the family: Transfer RNA (tRNA) molecules are approximately 80 nucleotides in length. Lineage: Eukaryota; Metazoa; Chordata; Mammalia; Artiodactyla; Camelidae. RNAcentral also lists the same sequence under 3 other names. The record is from Rfam by way of RNAcentral.